Molecule: RNA transcript, 1029 nt
Organism: Phyllostomus discolor (pale spear-nosed bat)
Lineage: Eukaryota; Metazoa; Chordata; Mammalia; Chiroptera; Phyllostomidae
Gene: TMEM91
Gene name: transmembrane protein 91
Exons: 5
Source: RefSeq, a predicted model, not a curated record
CACCCCGCCCCCGGGCGCUGCGGACCCAGGCGAUAGAAGGGAGCUGAUUGGAACGUGCAGACCCUGCAACCCCAGGCUUGGGCCGGGCAGCGUGGGGCUCACUGAAGUCCGCAUACCCGACCGGUAGAGUCGGGGCAGGUGUCGGUUCAGGGGCCCGGGAGGUCCCGGCAUCGGGCCGUGAGCGGAAGCACCUCUGGGAACCCCUCCCCAGCCAUGGACAGCCCCAGUCUUCCAGAACUGCAACAGCCUCUGCUGGCAGGUGUAGGCUCCACCUGCCCCGUCCAGAAGCCUGGAGAACCUGAGCCGGAUCCCCUCUUUGGAGAGACAGCUUUUGCAGAGUCCCUAAGGGGUUGGCAGUUUCUGCCACCACCUCUUCCCUCUGUGAGCACUGGUCUGGGGCAGCCAGGGCACCCUGACCUUGAGGAUGCAUCAAGUGACAGCGACUCGGACUGGGACAGGGACAGCCUUCUCUCCCCUCUCCUACCCCAUGACCACCUGGGCUUGGCUGUUUUCUCCGUGCUGUGCUGCUUCUGGCCGGUGGGCAUUGCUGCCUUUUGCUUGGCCCAAAAGAGAAACAUUGAUGUGAAAGAGGAAUACUGAUUGGCUAGCUGUCUUCUCGCAUGUGCCCCAACCGACCAGGAAUCAAACCCGCAACCUGGCUCUUCCAACAUUGACCGUUGUAACCAGUUCCCUGCAUUAAACUCUCUGCUGGAAAUCCCCCAGUGGUUUCUGCUUUCCUGACUGGAUGUGAGUGGGCAAAUAACUCAGAGUAACCACAGUCCCAGGAUACUGUGAACUUGAGCUGAUGAGGAAUGCUCUCUCUUCCUGUGCUUCUGAGCCUCCUAAGAUAUAAGCACAGCUUAAGCGGCCAAUCAUAGCCUCAGGAGAGAUACUGGCCAGAGGUAGUGGAGCCAGCUGCAGAAAAGAGCAGGCACUAACAAACGCAAAGGAAAUCCUGAUGGAGUCUGAGGCCCUGGCUCAAUUUCCAUUCUUUGAGUUUGGUUCUGAAUGCCAAUAAACUCCGUUUGC